This 249-nucleotide ribosomal RNA is filed under the name uncultured Armatimonadota bacterium. RNAcentral's name for it is "uncultured Armatimonadetes bacterium partial 16S ribosomal RNA". It matches the Rfam family "Bacterial small subunit ribosomal RNA", at positions 355 to 620 of the family's 1533-position model. Lineage: Bacteria; Bacillati; Armatimonadota. The record is from RNAcentral.
UAGGGAAUUUUCCGCAAUGGGCGCAAGCCUGACCCAGCGACGCCGCGUGGAGGACGAAGCCCUUCGGGGUGUAAACUCCUUUAAGCAGGGACGAACGCAGACGGUACCUGCAGAAUAAGCCCCGGCUAACUACGUGCCAGCAGCCGCGGUAAUACGUAGGGGGCGAGCGUUGCCCGACUUUACUGGGCGUAAAGCGCACGUAGGCGGCUCCGUAAGUCUGGGGUGAAAUCUCACGGCUCAGCCGGGAGG